CACCAUCUCAUCAUAUUUCAAAAGAUGAGAACUUGCACCUGUUUAUAAUAAUAAAAUUUAAAAUUAGAGAAAUCAUAAAUUAGAAAAAAAAGACACUGAUUAUAAUUAAAUUAGUUUCUUAAAAUCUCCUACCUUUCCUUACAACUGGCUUCAACUUUUUACUUUUUCUCUUUUCAAGUACGCUUUUCAGUCGCUUGCCUUUUCC
RNAcentral lists this long non-coding RNA (205 nucleotides) under Elaeis guineensis (African oil palm). RNAcentral's name for it is "long non-coding RNA (EGUI_LNC016981)". The record is from RNAcentral. Lineage: Eukaryota; Viridiplantae; Streptophyta; Magnoliopsida; Arecales; Arecaceae.